Molecule: ribosomal RNA, 728 nt
Filed under: Mirambulus niger
Lineage: Eukaryota; Metazoa; Arthropoda; Insecta; Hemiptera; Reduviidae
Description: SSU rRNA
Rfam family: Eukaryotic small subunit ribosomal RNA
Source: RNAcentral
CGUAAUCGGAAUGAGUACACUUUAAAUCCUUUAACAAGGAUCAAUUGGAGGGCAAGUCUGGUGCCAGCAGCCGCGGUAAUUCCAGCUCCAAUAGCGUAUAUUAAAGUUGUUGCGGUUAAAAAGCUCGUAGUUGGUUCUGCGUGCCGCGCUGUCGGUUCGCCGCCUGUCGGUGUAACUGGCAUGUCGCGGCAUGUCCUGUCGGUGGUGAACUGGGUCCCCGGUAUGGCAUAGGCUUCCUAUGGCUUAUGUUUAUACCGUGCGUGACCUCGUUUGCCGAUUUCUCCUACUUCGGUGCUCUUAAACGAGUGUCGAGGUAGGCCGACACGUUCACUUUGAACAAAUUAGAGUGCUUAAAGCAGGCUGAAAUAUCUGCCUGAAUAGUGGUGCAUGGAAUGAUAAAAUAGGACCUCGGUUCUAUUUUGUUGGUUUUAGGAAUAUGAGGUAAUGAUCAAUGUGGACUGGCGGGGGCAUUCGUAUUGCGACGUUAGAGGUGAAAUUCUUGGAUCGUCGCAAGACGCACUAGAGCGAAAGCAUUUGCCAAGUAUGUCUUAAUUGAUCAAGAACGAAAGUUAGAGGUUCGAAGGCGAUCAGAUACCGCCCUAGUUCUAACCAUAAACGAUGCCAGCCAGCGAUCCGCCGAUGUUCUUUUAAUGACUCGGCGGGGAGCUUCCACCCGGGAAACCAAAGCUUUUGGGUUCCGGGGGAAGUAUGGUUGCAAAGCUGAAACU